AACGUAGGAGGCAAGCGUUAUCCGGAUUUACUGGGCGUAAAGCGCGUGCAGGUGGUUCGGUAAGUUGGAUGUGAAAGCUCCUGGCUCAACUGGGAGAGGUCGUUCAAUACUACCGGACUCGAGAGUGGUAGAGGGAGGUGGAAUUCCCGGUGUAGUGGUGAAAUGCGUAGAUAUCGGGAGGAACACCAGUGGCGAAAGCGGCCUCCUGGACCAUUUCUGACACUCAGACGCGAAAGCUAGGGUAGCAAACGGG
This 253-nucleotide ribosomal RNA is filed under the name uncultured bacterium. Its description in RNAcentral is "partial 16S ribosomal RNA". It matches the Rfam family "Bacterial small subunit ribosomal RNA", at positions 524 to 776 of the family's 1533-position model. The record is from RNAcentral.